Molecule: long non-coding RNA, 1867 nt
Organism: Suricata suricatta (meerkat)
Lineage: Eukaryota; Metazoa; Chordata; Mammalia; Carnivora; Herpestidae
Exons: 3
Source: RefSeq, a predicted model, not a curated record
CACUGUUUUCCAGAGCGGCUGCACCAAUUGGCAUUCCCACCAGCAGUGCAGGAGGGGCCCGUUGAGUAUUUAACAGCAGCUGCACGCCAGGCGGGGGGAGCUGAGUCAAUGCACGUCAUCACACAAGGGAGGAGCCAGGACAAGGCAGAGCCGGGCCCAAGGCCUGAGCACCAGUGUGGUUUGGAGAGCUGGGAGUGGUCCUCACUCAGCAGGUGAGGGGCUCCCACUCACACGCAUUGGCUGCGGGCUCGAUGUCCUCACUGUAGAUGCCCCGGGAAUCGGUGCUGUCAGACUGGCUCCCAUUGAGAACACAACAGGGAGGGUCCCCGGCCACUGGCGCUGCCCAGGAAUGUGCUAGAACAAGGAAACAGAGGAGGAUCUCCUACUGCAUUGUGGGACGGAGACAUCUUUAUGACAUCCAUUAGAGAUCCCAUAUAAAUAGUCCUAACUGCAAAUAGUCCUGUUGGAUGAAGGAACAACAGUCAUGCAACAGAAAAGAAAAUAGCACCAUGUAAUCUGUGGACAAAGGAGCUGCUUCCCUCUGGGCAUUGCAUCUAUAUCCAAGGACAUGCAGAAAGCAAACAGCAAAGUAUACUCUGGAAGCGCCCUUCUUCCCAAGUACCUCUCGCUGGCUGCUGUGGGUCCUGGGGCCACCCAGCUGGAAAAAAGACUGGGCCGUCACAGGAAGUCGUGGGGGGAAUGGCUCUCAGGUGGGAGCUGGGUUGGCCUGCCCCAUGCAGACCGUGUGGUGUGGUCCUGUAGGAGCUAAGCCAGCAGCCUGCAGUCCCCUUCAGCAUGUGGCCACCAGUUCAAAUUGGCACCAGGGAGCAGUGGGGUCAUGACCUCCGUGUGGGCAGUUUUGGCUGUGGAAGUUGGGUUCACCUUGCUGGGCGGUGGGUGGCUGUGGGUCGAGGUCCUAGGUGCCAUUCCUGUGAGCUGGAAGGUCCUGUGGAGUCCCUGCAGCUGAGAGUAGGGGAGAGCAGCAACCGCCCCAGGAAGGGUGGGCCAGGAGGGGGCCGGGCAACCAUGGUGAGUGUGUGUGCCACCCUGAGGCUGGGGGGCUCGAGGAUCGAAGAAGAGAGUGUGGCGGGGUCACUGUAAGGGCCUUCUCAGUGGUCAGUCAUGUGGGGCUGGGGAGUGUGAUCUGGGGGCUGCCGUCAUCUGGGUGCGAAAUGGCGGCCUCUUCCAGGAUGCUAUCCUAGCAGUGUGCCCUGGCUGGAUUGUGUUCUCAUUCAGGGCAGCAUGGGGUUCCCUGGGAUGCACCCCCAGAUGGGUGCGUCUGGUACUGUGCAUGGAGGGAGGGCUGUGUGCACUGAAGCUUCAGGGUGCUGACCUCUUGGACCUGGAGAAGUGGGGCUUUUGUCGUGCCCAGGAGCACGAGCUUAUUGGUGCCCUACCCUACUGGGGGUUCCAGUGCAGGGGCUCCUCUGGGCCUGGACCUUGCAAAUCUGGGUCCCGUGUGCCCUGUGCCCCCUCCAUCACCAUCGGGGACCAGUGUUCCUGACCACAGGGAGCCCAGCCCUGUCUCAAGCUCCAGCUCGGUCCUGAGCCCUACUGCAGGUCCCCAGGGCCUCAGACUCCCCGGGCUCCCCCAUCUGAGGCUCCCCCUCCCACCAGGGGGCAUCCUUGCCAGUCCCUGGGUCCCCAUCACCAAGUCCUGGAUUCUACUCCUCUCCACCUGCAGCUAGAGUCCCUCGUCCUCCAGGAAGGGGUCUGACUGACAGACACAGCUCCCACUGCAUGUGUGCAAACGUCUGCACAACCCCAGGGCUGCGUGUGCCCCCCGUGCUCACACCCCAGGAGAGAAAUUUCAGGGACACCCAUGGAGGGAAUGUCCAGCUUGAAGGUAAAACACUGGAAAACCUCC